This 2193-nucleotide long non-coding RNA is filed under the name Scophthalmus maximus (turbot). RNAcentral describes it as "lncRNA (ENSSMAG00000022711.1)". Lineage: Eukaryota; Metazoa; Chordata; Actinopteri; Pleuronectiformes; Scophthalmidae. The record is from RNAcentral.
AUGUGCCCCGGAAACAACGUUCACCACGCGACUGGAGCCGGUGGGUUGUUAAAUCACAACGGUAUCAAUUCGUUCAGUUAUCGAUUCAUGCAGUUAUCGAUUCAUCCGGACGGUUUUUAUUUCCUGUUAAAAAAAACAAACCCGUCAACAAUCGCCUCGACUCGGCUCCAUUCGGCUGUUCGCGGCAAAAGUUGCCAGAAGCGAUUUCAUUGGUCCGCGUGUGGCGAUGACGUCGCGCGAGAAGGCUGGUCACCUGGAGGUGCAGCCACACAGCUCUGCUCUACAGCGGCGCGUGGAUGUCACCGACCGGCAUUUGAAUAUGGAAACAACUAAAGAUGGAGACGUCCUGGCUGAGGGAACAAAGCGCCGAUGAAACACCUGACUCCACCGUGCGCACGUCGUGGCGCCUCCAAGAGCAACGACACAUGAAAUACGAGAUGUCCAGGACGCUGCCCCGGGGUGAACUUCAGCUCCUCGCGCUGGCACGUCGUCAUCUCUGCAGGUCGCAGCUGACACCCACAUGAAGAAAAAAAGUGCGCAGCCAAACCCCAACAUGUCUCACCGGAGCCUGGCGCACUCCGACGCGCGCACCGGGAGCCUGCGCACGCGGCUCCGACGCGCGCCCCCAACGAAACACGACGUCUCCAUAUUCACUGCAUUCAAAUAAAAUCAAGGGAUUAUUAUUUAUUUUUUACCUUAGGAAUCAAUAUGUCCGCUGCUCUGGGCUCGUCCCCCCCAGUGCCUGGCUCCUGUGUCCCGUCGGCUGCGCUGACAACGCGUCCACCAUCGCACCGUCCCGCCGCGCUGCCGCUGUUGUGCUGCGCGUCGUCAGGGUGUGGAAUCAUACACACGCAUGGCAACGGCGCGAUGCUCAGGCAUUAAAAAAAAAAUUGAAUAAAAAAAAAUAAAAAAAAUCAUAACGUCUCCAUGAUGCUCAUUUCCUCCGGCGGUCGGACACACUCUGCCUCGCGUGGAGGACGACUGGGACUACAGCCAUUUAGAAAGAAAAUUACAAAUAUUAAGAAAUUAAUUUUGACAUUUUUCUACUAAACUUUACUUUAAAAUAACUAUUUUUUUUAAAAAAAGAUGAAAACAUGAAAAAAAUAACGUACGUUUUUAUGUGAGUAAAAAAAAUCGACCUUUUUUGUUGUUGUCAUUCAGUCGGUUUUGUUAAAUUCAUAUAAAUUCAUAAACAAAUAUUAUUUCUGAAGCCAAUUUUAUUCUGUGGUUAUUUCAUCGAACUGGAUGCAAUAGUUCGGUCGUCGUUUAUGCAUAAUAUUGGAAUAUGAAGGUGGAAGAAAAGUGUGGAAGACAAAAUACUGAAGAGACAGAAAGUAUUUUUUUAAAGAAGUGUUUUUUCUCGUCAUGUUGGGACACUGAAAAAAAUACUUUUCUAAACAUUUAACUUGAGAGACAAAAGUUUAAAAUCUGUCUGUUCAGUGGAUUUAGUUUUUUUUGCCAAACAUGAUUACAUUACAAUUGCAACAAACAUAAAGGUUCAUAAGUGAAUUUACACUGUUUGUACAAUCAUUAACCAGUUUGAUUGUCAGAUUUUUCUUUUGUCCUUUCUUCGUAUUCGCCAUUAAUGUUUUCACUUUGUAUUCUUAUACAACUAGAACAAUAGAAGCCCUUUAUAAUCUUCAAUCUGGAGCAACAUCUAUGUUUGAAUGACUGAAGUUAUUUAUCUGUGAUUGUGUUUUUUGAUUUUCAAACACUAUGUAUUUAUAAAAAAAAAUGUAGCACGUGCUCCUGUAGCUCUCCACCCGUCCAGCAGGGGUCAGCAGACGCUCUGGAGAGUGUGAGGCCGGAGUGCUGACUCACUGCUGGUGACUGACACACACACACACACACACACACACACACACACACACACACACACACACACACACACACACACACACACACACACACACUGAUGAUGAUGAUGAUGAUGAUGAUGAUGAUGGGACUGGACCAGCACGACCUUCCCUGAAUCUCUUAUGGACCAGUAAGAUUAUACUUUGAAUACUGUAUGUUCACCCUGUUAUUACACCCAUACUGUAGGUAUUCAAAUCAACCCAAUAAUCAUAAUGCUGAUGCCCUGUACUACAGCUUUCGGAAUCGCUAAAUUCCAACAGUGAUUAUGAGGAAUGAUUCUGAAAGAACGACUCCUUUCCGUGAAGAAGCUUCAAGAUACAACGUCGAUGGAAUCAC